UAACGAACCCUUCCAAAGACUUUAAAAGUGAAUAUUGGUUCCACAGAUUAGGUAUAUAAAAUUAAAAUUGUAAUAAAUUGAAACUACAGUCAGAUAUUUGUCAUAAAAGCGUAUCUUUACAGAGGUGUUUUCUCCGGAAAAUUGCGGUAAUCAAACACGGUUAUCAUGAUAAUUAGAAUUUAA
This is a long non-coding RNA of Sphaeramia orbicularis (orbiculate cardinalfish), 183 nucleotides long. RefSeq lists it as uncharacterized. The record is from RefSeq and is a predicted model, not a curated record. NCBI's taxonomy places the organism in Eukaryota, Metazoa, Chordata, Actinopteri, Kurtiformes, Apogonidae. The transcript has 3 exons.